Molecule: ribosomal RNA, 116 nt
Filed under: Danio rerio (zebrafish)
Lineage: Eukaryota; Metazoa; Chordata; Actinopteri; Cypriniformes; Danionidae
Source: RNAcentral
ACUUUCAUACAUAUAGCCUGUUAAUCUCACAUGGUCCCCCACUGAAGCACAGGGCUGUGCUCGGUCAGUACCUGGAUGGGAGACCACAUGGGAAAGCUAGGGUGCUGCCGAAAGUG